AGAACGAACGCUGGCGGCAUGCCUAACACAUGCAAGUCGAACGAGACCUUCGGGUCUAGUGGCGCACGGGUGCGUAACGCGUGGGAAUCUGCCCUUGGGUUCGGGAUUACAGUUGGAAACGACUGCUAAUACCGGAUGAUGUCUUCGGACCAAAGAUUUAUCGCCCAAGGAUGAGCCCGCGUAGGAUUAGCUUGUUGGUGAGGUAAGAGCUCACCAAGGCGACGAUCCUUAGCUGGUCUGAGAGGAUGAUCAGCCACACUGGGACUGAGACACGGCCCAGACUCCGUACGGGAGGCAGCGAGGUGGGGAAUAGUUGGACAAGUGGGACGAAAGCCUAGACUACCAGACAAUGCCGCGCGACGUGAGUGGAAGGCCGUUAAGGGUACCGUAAAGGCCGUUUACCGUUUUAACCCCGGGGAUACGGUAAGUUAAA
This 433-nucleotide ribosomal RNA is filed under the name uncultured soil bacterium. RNAcentral describes it as "bacterial SSU rRNA". It matches the Rfam family "Bacterial small subunit ribosomal RNA", at positions 26 to 460 of the family's 1533-position model. The record is from RNAcentral.